GACGAACGCUGGCGGCGUGCUUAACACAUGCAAGUCGAACGGAAAGGCCCUGCUUUUGUGGGGUGCUCGAGUGGCGAACGGGUGAGUAACACGUGAGUAACCUGCCCUUGACUUUGGGAUAACUUCAGGAAACUGGGGCUAAUACCGGAUAGGAGCUCCUGCUGCAUGGUGGGGGUUGGAAAGUUUCGGCGGUUGGGGAUGGACUCGCGGCUUAUCAGCUUGUUGGUGGGGUAGUGGCUUACCAAGGCUUUGACGGGUAGCCGGCCUGAGAGGGUGACCGGCCACAUUGGGACUGAGAUACGGCCCAGACUCCUACGGGAGGCAGCAGUGGGGAAUAUUGCACAAUGGGCGGGAGCCUGAUGCGGCAACGCCGCGUGCGGGAUGACGGCCUUCGGGUUGUAAACCGCUUUCGCCUAUGACGAAGCGUGAGUGACGGUAAUGGGUAAAGAAGCACCGGCUAACUACGU
RNAcentral lists this ribosomal RNA (467 nucleotides) under uncultured bacterium. Its description in RNAcentral is "partial 16S ribosomal RNA". It matches the Rfam family "Bacterial small subunit ribosomal RNA", at positions 28 to 506 of the family's 1533-position model. The record is from RNAcentral.